UUUAAACUUUGUGAUGAUUUAAAGUUAAUUAAGACUAAACUUUUAGCAUGGUAAUUUUAGUAAACAAAAGAAAUAAUAUCCAAGAUUUUUUCUAACCCAGCAAGAAGCAUUAAACCAUAAUAGAAAUAAUAAUUUAAUUUAGUUUUAUAAAUCUAGACUAAUUAGGUGCCAGCAGUCGCGGUCACACCUAAUAGAUAAAUUAACUUUUUCAGACUAGCCAAAAAGAUAAAAAUUUUAUAUAUAAGUGAAAUUUUUAUAAUAAUGAAUUCUACUAUCUUAAAAUAUUUUGCUUAAUCUCUAACUAUAAACUAGGAUUAGAUACCCUAUUAUAUAGAGUAUAAAUUUCAGGUCUAAGCACUACGACUACAAAGUUAAAACUUAAAUCACAUGGCGGCUGUUAGAAACUUCAGGGGAACUUGCCGAAUUAAUGAUAAUCCUCAAAAUAACACUACUUCCAUUAUAAUAAUAGUUUGUAUAUCGCCGUCUUCAGUCUUCAUUUUAGAUGAAUUCAAAAUGUUAAAUUACAAAAAGACAGGUUCUGAUGCAGCCAAUAUGGAAGCCUUGGGUGAGUUACAGUAAAAAUUAUAAAUAUAGGAUUUCUUUGAAACCGAAGAAACAAAAAUGGACUUGAAAGUAAUUUAUAUAAUAAAUAUUGAUUGAAUAUAUAAAGCUAAUUGUGCACAAAUCGCCCGUCACUUUCGUUGAAAAAUGAAAUAAGUCGUAACAUAGUAGGUGUACUGGAAAGUGCACCUGUCUUUGU
This 760-nucleotide non-coding RNA is filed under the name Hypselodoris festiva. The record is from RNAcentral. Lineage: Eukaryota; Metazoa; Mollusca; Gastropoda; Nudibranchia; Chromodorididae.